GACGAACGCUGGCGGCGUGCUUAACACAUGCCAGUCGAACGGAAAGGCCCUGCUUGCAUGGUAUUCGAGAGGCGCACGCGGGAGUAUAACGUGGGUGUAACGUGCUGCACUUCGGGGUAUGACUGUGGGAAUGGGUCGCUAAUACGGUAGAAGCGAUUUUGAGGCAUGUGGUUGGAAAGAAUUUUCGGUGUAGGAUGGGCUCGCGGCCUAUUAGCUUGUUGGUGGGGGAAUGGCCGACCAAGGCGGCGACGGGUAGCCGGCCUGAGGGGGUGGACGGCCCCCAUGGGACUGAGGUACGGCCCAGAAUCCUACGGGAGGCAAGAGUGGGGAAUAUUGCACAAUGGGGGCAAGCCUGAUGCAGAGACGCCGCGUGGGGGAUGACGGGCUUCGGGUUGUAAACUCGUUUCGGUAGGGAAGGAGCUUUUUGUGACGGUACCUAGAUAAGAAGCACCGGCUAACUACGUG
Molecule: ribosomal RNA, 465 nt
Filed under: uncultured bacterium
Lineage: Bacteria
Description: partial 16S ribosomal RNA
Rfam family: Bacterial small subunit ribosomal RNA
Source: RNAcentral